Molecule: ribosomal RNA, 231 nt
Filed under: uncultured bacterium
Lineage: Bacteria
Description: partial 16S rRNA
Rfam family: Bacterial small subunit ribosomal RNA
Source: RNAcentral
UCGCUCGAAGAUGAGCCCGCGGCCCAUCAGCUAGUUGGCGGGGUAAUGGCCCACCAAGGCUACGACGGGUAGCUGGUCUGAGAGGACGACCAGCCACACUGGGACUGAGACACGGCCCAGACUCCUACGGGAGGCAGCAGUGGGGAAUCUUGCGCAAUGGGCGAAAGCCUGACGCAGCGACGCCGCGUGUGUGAUGAAGGCCCUUGGGUCGUAAAGCACUGUCGCGAGGGA